GAUGAACGCUAGCUACAGGCUUAACACAUGCAAGUCGCGGGGCAGCAUGGGGGUUGCUUGCAAUCCCCGAUGGCGACCGGCGCACGGGUGAGUAACGCGUAUCCAACCUGCCCUUCACCACGGGAUAACCCGGCGAAAGUCGGACUAAUACCGUAUGUUGUCCAUUGACGGCAUCCGAUUUGGACGAAAGGUUUGGCGGUGAAGGAUGGGGAUGCGUCCGAUUUGCUGGACGGUGGGGUGACGGCCCACCGUGGCGACGAUCGGUAGGGGUUCUGAGAGGAAGGUCCCCCACACUGGAACUGAGACACGGUCCAGACUCCUACGGGAGGCAGCAGUGAGGAAUAUUGGUCAAUGGGCGUAAGCCUGAACCAGCCAAGUAGCGUGCAGGAUGACGGCCCUAUGGGUUGUAAACUGCUUUUAUGCGGGGAUAAAGUGGCCCACGUGUGGGUUUUUGCAGGUACCGCAUGAAUAAGGACCGGCUAAUUCCGUG
This 490-nucleotide ribosomal RNA is filed under the name uncultured bacterium. RNAcentral describes it as "partial 16S ribosomal RNA". It matches the Rfam family "Bacterial small subunit ribosomal RNA", at positions 28 to 507 of the family's 1533-position model. The record is from RNAcentral.